RNAcentral lists this ribosomal RNA (253 nucleotides) under uncultured bacterium. RNAcentral's name for it is "partial 16S ribosomal RNA". It matches the Rfam family "Bacterial small subunit ribosomal RNA", at positions 524 to 776 of the family's 1533-position model. The record is from RNAcentral.
UACGUAGGGGGCUAGCGUUGUCCGGAAUCAUUGGGCGUAAAGCGCGUGUAGGCGGUCCGGUAAGUCCGCUGUGAAAGUCGGGGGCUCAACCCUCGAAUGCCGGUGGAUACUGUCGGGCUAGAGUGCGGAAGAGGCGAGUGGAAUUCCUGGUGUAGCGGUGAAAUGCGCAGAUAUCGGGAGGAACACCUAUGGCGAAGGCAGCUCGCUGGGACGUUACUGACGCUGAGACGCGAAAGCGUGGGGAGCAAACAGG